CCCUCUCCAGAAUAGCAGCAUAAAAACCACUAUAAUUCAGCCGGUUAAAGUUUGAUCCACAGUUAUAAAGAACAUUCUUGAUUAAGUUGAUCCCACUCCUCCUGUCAACAAUAGGCAAAAAGCAUUCAUCCAUAACAGACAAAGCAACAGCCAACUUUGAAUUGCAUUCUACUCUUUGAGGAAGUCCCUGGAGAGAUGUAUCCAAGUCUACAUCUGUUCUAUGUAUGAGAGACCAUGAAAAUCCUGCUUCAAGCUCAUUUUUGACCCCAAGAUACUUCUGCAAUUGCUCAAAAAGCUGUCUACAUGUCUUCCCACAAAAACAACAAAAUGAACUAUUGGCAUCGAUAGAAAGAGCAUCCAUCUCCAGUAUGCAUGAUUUGUGAUAUUUCUUUGCACACAUGCUGCAAGUAGGAAGUUCACAACCAGUUGCAUCAUCUCCCUGAGAAAUAUUUUCACCGGCUACCCCACAAAAUUUGCAUGUACAAUUUGGAC
This 492-nucleotide unclassified non-coding RNA is filed under the name Hevea brasiliensis (rubber tree). Lineage: Eukaryota; Viridiplantae; Streptophyta; Magnoliopsida; Malpighiales; Euphorbiaceae. The record is from RNAcentral.